RNAcentral lists this ribosomal RNA (217 nucleotides) under uncultured bacterium. RNAcentral's name for it is "partial 16S ribosomal RNA". It matches the Rfam family "Bacterial small subunit ribosomal RNA", at positions 1283 to 1500 of the family's 1533-position model. The record is from RNAcentral.
CCAUCCCAGUUCGGAUCGCAGGCUGCAACCCGCCUGCGUGAAGUUGGAAUCGCUAGUAAUCGCGGAUCAGCAUGCCGCGGUGAAUACGUUCCCGGGCCUUGGACACACCGCCCGUCACACCAUGAGAGUCGGGAACACCCGAAGUCCGUAGUCUAACCGCAAGGGGACGCGGCCGAAGGUGGGUUCGAUAAUUGGGGUGAAGUCGUAACAAGGUAUC